RNAcentral lists this long non-coding RNA (3718 nucleotides) under Nilaparvata lugens (brown planthopper). RNAcentral's name for it is "uncharacterized LOC120354951". Lineage: Eukaryota; Metazoa; Arthropoda; Insecta; Hemiptera; Delphacidae. The record is from RNAcentral.
CUUACUUAUUUAAAAUAUGUAAUUUGAAUAAUGCAUUCCCAAACAAGUUUGAAAAUAUAUAAUUAUAAAUAAUUGAGUAUCAAUGAUAUAUCGAUAUUUUCAUAGUAGGUUUAUCGAUAGUGGGUUUAUUGUUAAUGGGAAGGCGGUUGUUGGUCAAUGCCGAGGGAAUGGGCCAAAUGGCUUUGGGUUCGGCAUUGUAACAUUUAGAUCGUAACGGUUUUUUUGGUGUCUGUUGUUUUGUGAUUUUUGUGAAAGAUCAGGUUUAAGGAGCUGUGGUGAUAAAAUUUUCCAACACAAAAGAAAAAGACAUGGAAACAGUAAUCAAAGACUGGCUGAAGUCUUCAAAAAUUCGGUUUACCAGCAAAGAGAAAUCUAAGAUUCAUGACGGUGAUUGGAGAUAUCUGGGCGGUGGACUCCAUCGCACCCCCCUCAGCGUCGACAACCGCUACUACCGCUACUUCCGCCAUCGGCAGUGUGUCUGCUACCUCACUUUGCGCGGACGAAGAGAGACUCAUUUUAAAAAGGAUAAAGUGUCAAAGAUUUUAAAAAAAGUGAAAGUUUUGGCUAACAAAGCCUCUAAGUGCAGACCACAAGAUAGGACUGUAUAAAAGUGAAAUGUUCACAAAGUUUUCCUAAUAAGGAGUAUCUCAAUCUCAUAUGACAGGUAUUUAUUAAUUUGAAUUUUCUCCAUUGCUUACUUAUUGUAGCCUAUGAUAUUCUCAAACUGGCUUAUAUUUAAAUUAUUAGUGACUAGACAAAAUUCAGCAGUUUAGGCCCAUAAAACAUUAAAAUACAAUUUCCAAUAAUAAUAAAAUCUUAUAAAAUAAUUCUCUCUUUGCUUAAAGCUGUUGAUUCUCAAAAAAUAGUUUUUCAUACUUGCUUGCAUUCCCCAGUAAGUUCUUACUAUCUAUCAUCCAUUCACAACAAAUCUCAUUAUGCAUUGACUUGUCUAUAAUUAUUAUCAGUGAUAUAUAGUCUUGAUUUACUCUCAAUAAUGAUUUUAUGAGCUCUGUUCUCAUCACCAGUCCCACGUUGAAUGCAACAUGUUUAUGUCAAUGGCGCAUCACCAGCCUCACGUUGGGCGCAAAUGUUUCUGCUGACGUUAUUUUUGUGAAUAACGGCUUGCCUGGCUUGGCUGCAGUCGGUAAAGCAUGAGUAAAAAAUUAUACAACUUUGGUUGUGGUUCUUAGAAUACAACUUAGACAAAAUUCUUAUAGGCUCGCCCAGGUGCUCCCGCAGUUCACUGCUCUUGUACAAUUUAUAUAAAUCUCUGGAACGUAUUAUUUCCAAAGAUUUGAUUAUCAAUGCUAAAUAUUGCUGACUAAACCAACUUAUUCGGUGAAGAACAAAGUCGGAUGGUAAUUUUCUUAAUAUUUCAAUACUGAUAACUCAAUAAAUAAAUAUGAGAUUGGUCAUGCAUGGAAGUGGAGAAAUAAAUAAAGGAUACACCAAAAAAAAUUUGAUACAUAUAUUGUACAAGAAAUAUCAACAAACAAGUAAAUGUAGAAGUAUAUAGAGCAACAAGCGAAAAUAAUAAAAAUAAGAACAAAUAUAUCAAAAGUAAAAUAUCACAGAUUAGCUCACUAGUUUUCAGUUCUUUAGCAUGAAACGUUGCCAUGUGCUUUUGAAUCAUUAAUCGUAUGCAUUUAUUUUCAUGCAGCUCAGGUAUCGACUUGCUGCUGCUUGUCGAUUUAAAAAUCCCAAUAUAUAUCUUCUUUCAGUGUUUUAGUUUUACUUAGAAUUGUAUUGGAGGGUUAAGUGUAAGAGAGGGCCAGCUGCGCCCUAACUUCGCCCUCCUAGGUUUUUAAUAAAGGCAGCUAAUCAAUCAAUCAAUUCUUUCCAAAAAUAAUAAAAUAAUUAACUGAUAAAUCAUAAAUCUCAAAUAUAAUAAUAUGUAUAGACCUCAGUAUAUUUCUCAAUAUAUAUAUCUCUCAACCUAGCUCCGCAGUGCAGGCUGGUUGCUUGGCUGAAUUGGACUAGGCGCUGAGACAGCAAAUAAUAGCAGUGUUGGUGGCAAUGCGAGCGGCCACAGUAACAUCUUCCACCCAGCAAUGGUCGGCGUAGUUCCGCCUAGCGGACAGACAAAAGAUCAAACCAGUCGGUUAUUUGAUCCCUCCAGCCAGGCUCAGCCAAGCAGCCGAGACAAUAGAACAAUGGAGUGGCGGUCUUAUUCGUGUUCAUCAGCAGUUUUCUUUCUCACGAUUAUUUUGAUUUCUGUGUGUCAAUAAUAACUCCAGUCACCAGUAAAAAGUCCCCAGAAACGUGAUGUACUACCAUAUUAAUGACUUUUCAUGAUGAUUUUAAAUUAUUUAAAAACAUUGUUAACAUUCUGAGUCUUCAGGCUAAACUUGGGGUCGCUGUGAACGAAUCUGCAAUCAGAAUUUCUGUAUCACAAAAAAUAACGAAAAAAAUCCAGCUGUUGAUCUUUCAGCAACCGUUAACAGUCAUCCUGCAAUGCGGCCGAAACACUUCCAAGCCAGACACUCAUCUCGAAUGACAACAAUGCCAAGCUGUAAGAAACCAUCCUGCACUGCGGUGCUAGGUUCAGGGCUUGAGGUUCGGCCUCUGGUGGAAUCAGAUAGAUUAAUUUAUCCAGUGAACAAGAGCUACAUAUUUAUCUUAUAAUUUGCUAAUAAAAUAAUGAUUGAGUGAGCAUAUGUACAUUAUAAUAUUAAAUUUAAAUACUCCUCUAAUCUGUGCAUCUUUAGAUAUAUAAAUUUGAUACAACUCCUAUCCAAUAAAAUAUGUUUUUGUACCUUUUUAAGACUUGCGCAAGUUUCACAAUAAUUUCAAUAUUUAUAACCUUUCGACAAGCUAGCUUUUUAUAUUUGUUUCACUCGAAGCACUGAGGGCGCCCUAAUUUUAUAUAUUUCGAUAAUUUAUCACUCACAUGCUGAAUUUUCACAAGACGAUGGUGGCGAUCCGAAUUUCCUGGUCAUCCUGGAUUUUUGGUGGCCAAAGUCGUCCUCUCCAAGGGAAUAAAUAAAUAUCUAAUGACUUAAAGACUUUCAAACAUAAAAUUUAACAAAGGGACUUGUGCUCUAUAAAAUUUAGUGUCAUUCCAUGGUGGCGUCUGGCCUUAUUUUUCUAGAAUCCUAUUUCUGACUUACACAUUUGCAUACAUUUAAAUAUUUCACUACUACACCAUUUAAAAGGAUCAAAUGGUCCGUGCUAAUCUACUAAAUUAUUAUCUAUAUCCCAGGUAUUACAUUUUAUAAUUACUCGGACCAUAUCCGAUACAUAAACUGAGUAGUGAUAAUUUAUAAAUUCUUAUCAUUUAUAAAAAUAUUUAUAGAUUAAUUUGAAUCGGCUCUCUAUUGCUGCCCAUCGAUUACUGUAAUUUGAUUGGUUCAUGCUAAUUCACUAAUGUAUCCAUGCGCCUAUGAGUAUCCUACUUCCUUAAUAUUCUAAUUUAUUUUUUUUUGGUGUAUUUGUUCAUGCUCAUUACAGGUAAUAAAUAAUUUUGGAAUUUAUAAGUUGUUUUUCCCUCUACAACAAUUAGCCAUGUGCUUUUCAAAACCUCUAGUUGAAUACUAUUUGUUUACAACAAAUUUUUGCCAAGGUGUCUGGCUGGAUUUCACAUUAUACGGCUUGAUCGAUUAUUAGGUUGCCAAUCAGUAGGUAUUAAAGCCUAACCUCAAAAUUUCCAAUACUUUAUAUAAUAUAAUAAAUAGCAAAUAAAAUUAUUUUCUAUUCGGCUGUUCUAAUUUUAGCCAUG